Molecule: ribosomal RNA, 468 nt
Filed under: uncultured bacterium
Lineage: Bacteria
Description: partial 16S ribosomal RNA
Rfam family: Bacterial small subunit ribosomal RNA
Source: RNAcentral
GACGAACGCUGGCGGCGUGCUUAACACAUGCAAGUCGAACGGGAAGUUCCUGUUUUGGGGCGUUGCUCGGGUUGCGAACUGGUGAGCAACACUUGAGUUAGCUGUCCUUGACUGUAGGAUAACUUCAGGAAACUGGGUCUAAUAGCUGAUAGGAGCUCCUGCCGUAUGGUGGGGGUUGGAAAGUUUCGCCGGUUGGGGAUGGACUCGCGUCUUAUCAGGUUGUUGGUGGGGUAGUGGCUUACCAAGGCUUUGACUGGUAGCCGUCCUGAGAGGGUGAGCGGCCACACUGGGACUGAGAUACGGCCCAGACUCCUCCGCGAGGCAGCAGUGGGGAAUAUAGUACAAUGGGCUGAAGCCUGACGCAGCCCAGCAGUGUGCGGGAUGACAGCCUUCGGGUUGUAAACCGCUUUCGCCUGUGCCGAAGUGAGAGUGACGGUAAUGGGUAAAGAAGCACCGGCUAACUACGUG